CUUGCUCUGUUGCCAAGACUGGAAUGCAGAGGCGCGAUCUCCGCUCAUUGCAGGCUCCGCCUCCACUUGACUCAGGGAACACACAGCAGUGGGAGCCAAGGCUGUCAGCGAUCGAGGACCACAGUAUACCUGAUGCCCUCCCUCCUGACCUGUGAUUGGGAUUGAGCUGAAGAUAGUCACUGACAUGAUUCAAAGGAUUAGCACUUGGUACAGGUUCCCUCUGUGUGCCGGGCAGUAUGCCAGUUAAUUCAAGUGCAUGUCAGACCCAGAGGGUGACAUCCUGUGACUCAGAUGCUAGGGCCCUUAUGAUGCCUGGUAAGGAUGAACCGUUGUCCACAUUCUGUUUUCUGAGUCAAAGAGGAGGAAGAUCUGUCCAUCGAAACUGAGCUGCCAAGAUCCACUGCCGUGUCCUUCGGCUUUCUGCUCACAAGACAUCCUGGCCUGCAGGGUGAGGGGUUCUGCCCCCAUCAAAGAGAGAUCAGCUCUGGCCUUGACAGAUAUUGAGCCCCCAUCCUCUUCCACUUGCAAUUUCCUGGUCUUACUUGCUCUGCCACAUCCUGGCCUUGCCUCUAGACGUCUUG
RNAcentral lists this long non-coding RNA (581 nucleotides) under Homo sapiens (human). RNAcentral's name for it is "HSALNT0115087". Lineage: Eukaryota; Metazoa; Chordata; Mammalia; Primates; Hominidae. The record is from RNAcentral.